This 253-nucleotide ribosomal RNA is filed under the name uncultured bacterium. RNAcentral describes it as "partial 16S ribosomal RNA". It matches the Rfam family "Bacterial small subunit ribosomal RNA", at positions 524 to 776 of the family's 1533-position model. The record is from RNAcentral.
GACAGAGGGGGCAAGCGUUGCUCGGAAUCAUUGGGCGUAAAGGGUGCGUAGGCGGCGCGGUAAGUCGGGUGUGAAAUCUCGGAGCUUAACUCCGAAACUGCAUUCGAUACUGCCGUGCUUGAGGACUGGAGAGGAGACUGGAAUUUACGGUGUAGCGGUGAAAUGCGUAGAUAUCGUAAGGAAGACCAGUGGCGAAGGCGGGUCUCUGGACAGUUCCUGACGCUGAGGCACGAAGGUCAGGGGAGCAAACGGG